GAUGAACGCUGGCGGCGUGCCUAAUACAUGCAAGUCGAGCGAACGGACGAGAAGCUUGCUUCUCUGAUGUUAGCGGCGGACGGGUGAGUAACACGUGGAUAACCUACCUAUAAGACUGGGAUAACUUCGGGAAACCGGAGCUAAUAACGGAUAAUAUUUUGAACCGCAUGGUUCAAAAGUGAAAGACGGUCUUGCUGUCACUUAUAGAUGGAUCCGCGCUGCAUUAGCUAGUUGGUAAGGUAACGGCUUACCAAGGCAACGAUGCAUAGCCGACCUGAGAGGGUGAUCGGCCACACUGGAACUGAGACACGGUCCAGACUCCUACGGGAGGCAGCAGUAGGGAAUCUUCCGCAAUGGGCGAAAGCCUGACGGAGCAACGCCGCGUGAGUGAUGAAGGUCUUCGGAUCGUAAAACUCUGUUAUUAGGGAAGAACAUAUGUGUAAGUAACUGUGCACAUCUUGACGGUACCUAAUCAGAAAGCCACGGCUAACUACGUG
This 497-nucleotide ribosomal RNA is filed under the name uncultured bacterium. RNAcentral's name for it is "partial 16S ribosomal RNA". It matches the Rfam family "Bacterial small subunit ribosomal RNA", at positions 28 to 507 of the family's 1533-position model. The record is from RNAcentral.